RNAcentral lists this ribosomal RNA (253 nucleotides) under uncultured bacterium. Its description in RNAcentral is "partial 16S ribosomal RNA". It matches the Rfam family "Bacterial small subunit ribosomal RNA", at positions 524 to 776 of the family's 1533-position model. The record is from RNAcentral.
UACGUAGGGUGCGAGCGUUAAUCGGAAUUACUGGGCGUAAAGCGUGCGUAGGUGGUUCGUUAAGUCUGUCGUGAAAGCCCCGGGCUCAACCUGGGAAUGGCGAUGGAUACUGGCGAGCUAGAGUGCGGUAGAGGAGAGUGGAAUUCCCGGUGUAGCAGUGAAAUGCGUAGAGAUCGGGAGGAACAUCAGUUGCGAAGGCGGCUCUCUGGACCAGCACUGACACUGAGGCACGAAAGCGUGGGGAGCAAACAGG